RNAcentral lists this ribosomal RNA (443 nucleotides) under uncultured bacterium. Its description in RNAcentral is "partial 16S ribosomal RNA". It matches the Rfam family "Bacterial small subunit ribosomal RNA", at positions 338 to 795 of the family's 1533-position model. The record is from RNAcentral.
CCUACGGGUGGCAGCAGUGGGGAAUAUUGGUCAAUGGGCGCGAGCCUGACCCAGCAACGCAGCGUGAAGGAAGACUGCCCUCCGGUUUUUAACCUCUUUUAACAGGGACGUAGAAAGUGACGGUACCUGUUUAAUAAGCCACGGCUAAGUACGUGCCAGCAGCCGCUGUAAUACGUAGGUGGCAAGCGUUAUCCGGAUUUAAUGGUGGUAAGGGGAGUGUAGGCGGGAGAGUAAGUCAGAAGUGAAAUUCCAGGGCUCAACCCUGAAAUUGCGUUUGAAACUGUUAUUCUUGAGUGCAGGGGAGGCAGGCGGAAUUCGGGGUGUAGCGGUGAAAUGCGUAGAUAUAACGAGGAACACCGGUGGCGAAGGCAGCCUGCUAAACAUUAACUGACGCUGAGGCGCGAAAGCGUGGGGAGCAAACAGGAUUAGAUACCCUGGUAGUC